GAUGAACGCUGGCGGCGUGCCUAAUACAUGCAAGUCGAGCGAACAGACGAGGAGCUUGCUCCUCUGACGUUAGCGGCGGACGGGUGAGUAACACGUGGAUCACCUACCUAUAAGACUGGGAUAACUUCGGGAAACCGGAGCUAAUACCGGAUAAUAUAUUGAACCGCAUGGUUCAAUAGUGAAAGACGGCUUUGCUGUCACUUAUAGCUGGAUCCGCGCCGCAUUAGCUAGUUGGUAAGGUAACGGCUUACCAAGGCGACGAUGCGUAGCCGACCUGAGAGGGUGAUCGGCCACACUGGAGCUGAGACACGGUCCAGACUCCUACGGGAGGCAGCAGUAGGGAAUCUUCCGCAAUGGGCGAAAGCCUGACGGAGCAACGCCGCGUGAGUGAUGAAGGUCUUCGGAGCGUAAAACUCUGUUAUUAGGGAAGAACAAAUGUGUAAGUAACUAUGCACGUCUUGACGGUACCUAAUCAGAAAGCCACGGCUAACUACGUG
This 497-nucleotide ribosomal RNA is filed under the name uncultured bacterium. RNAcentral's name for it is "partial 16S ribosomal RNA". It matches the Rfam family "Bacterial small subunit ribosomal RNA", at positions 28 to 507 of the family's 1533-position model. The record is from RNAcentral.